GUACUCACUUCAGCAGUACAUAUACUAAAAUUGGAAUGAGACAGAAAAGAUUAGCAUGGCCCCUGUGCAAGGAUGACACACAAAUCCAUGAAGCAUUCCAUAUUUUU
This 107-nucleotide small nuclear RNA is filed under the name Dasypus novemcinctus (nine-banded armadillo). Lineage: Eukaryota; Metazoa; Chordata; Mammalia; Cingulata; Dasypodidae. The record is from RNAcentral.